Molecule: long non-coding RNA, 292 nt
Filed under: Lupinus angustifolius (narrow-leaved blue lupine)
Lineage: Eukaryota; Viridiplantae; Streptophyta; Magnoliopsida; Fabales; Fabaceae
Description: long non-coding RNA (LANG_LNC002755)
Source: RNAcentral
UUUUUUGCUUCAAACCCUUACCAAACCUUCACAUAACUAAUUCCAUUAACAUCAUCCAGAAUCUCCCAUCCACACCAAUAAACAUAAGAUCAAAGAUAUAAGAUUCCCUCAAUACAAAAAAAUAAUUUAUACAAAUCCAGAUCCAUGCGGUAUACACGAGUUGCUACACAUAGUCAUUCAAGGAACACCUUUCAUCCAUCAUCGCCGGCGAGAAGAAGAAGAAAACGAAGAGGGUCAUCGGCCUACCUUACCCAGUUCAGACCACAUAGAGUGGGUUAACCGCUGUCUUGCU